RNAcentral lists this ribosomal RNA (253 nucleotides) under uncultured bacterium. RNAcentral describes it as "partial 16S ribosomal RNA". It matches the Rfam family "Bacterial small subunit ribosomal RNA", at positions 524 to 776 of the family's 1533-position model. The record is from RNAcentral.
UACGUAGGGUGCGAGCGUUGUCCGGAAUUAUUGGGCAUAAAGGGCUCGUAGGCGGUUUGUCGCGUCGGGAGUGAAAACCAUGGGCUUAACUCAUGGCUUGCUUUCGAUACGGGCAGACUAGAGGUAUGCAGGGGAGAACGGAAUUCCUGGUGUAGCGGUGAAAUGCGCAGAUAUCAGGAGGAACACCGGUGGCGAAGGCGGUUCUCUGGGCAUGAUCUGACGCUGAGGAGCGAAAGUGUGGGGAGCGAACAGG